GGCAUGUGCACGCUUCUUGUUUUUCUCUCAACUCACCCGUGCACCUAAUGUAGGAUGCCUCUCCUCCGGGAGGGGGGACCUAUGUCUUCGUAUACAUCUUCGUGUAGAAAGUCUUUGAAUGUUUACUAUCAUCGAGUCGCGACUUCUAGGAGACGCGAUUCUUUGAGAUAAAAGUUAUUACAACUUUCAGCAACGGAUCUCUUGGCUCUCGCAUCGAUGAAGAACGCAGCGAAAAGCGAUAUGUAAUGUGAAUUGCAGAUCUACAGUGAAUCAUCGAAUCUUUGAACGCACCUUGCGCUCCUCGGUGUUCCGAGGAGCAUGCCUGUUUGAGUGUCAGUAAAUUCUCAACCCCUCUCGAUUAGCUUCGAGAGGGUGCUUGGAUAGUGGAGGUUGUCGGAGACUCGGAUUCGUCCAAGACUCGGACUCUUCUGAAAUGCAUCGGCUUGCGGUCGACUUUCGACUAUGUGCGACAAGGCUUUCGGCGUGAUAAUGAUCGCCGUUCGCUGAAGCGCAUGACCGAAGGU
RNAcentral lists this ribosomal RNA (524 nucleotides) under uncultured Rhizopogon. RNAcentral's name for it is "eukaryotic LSU rRNA". The stretch from base 182 to 336 matches the Rfam family "5.8S ribosomal RNA". The record is from RNAcentral. Lineage: Eukaryota; Fungi; Basidiomycota; Agaricomycetes; Boletales; Rhizopogonaceae.